ACGUAGGGGGCAAGCGUUGUCCGGAAUUAUUGGGCGUAAAGCGCGCGCAGGCGGUUCAUUAAGUUUGGUGUUUAAGCCCGGGGCUCAACCCCGGUUCGCAUCGAAAACUGGUGGACUUGAGUGUAGGAGAGGAAAGUGGAAUUCCACGUGUAGCGGUGAAAUGCGUAGAGAUGUGGAGGAACACCAGUGGCGAAGGCGACUUUCUGGCCUAUAACUGACGCUGAGGCGCGAAAGCGUGGGGAGCAAACAGGA
RNAcentral lists this ribosomal RNA (252 nucleotides) under uncultured prokaryote. Its description in RNAcentral is "partial 16S ribosomal RNA". It matches the Rfam family "Bacterial small subunit ribosomal RNA", at positions 525 to 777 of the family's 1533-position model. The record is from RNAcentral.